RNAcentral lists this ribosomal RNA (439 nucleotides) under uncultured bacterium. Its description in RNAcentral is "partial 16S ribosomal RNA". It matches the Rfam family "Bacterial small subunit ribosomal RNA", at positions 339 to 795 of the family's 1533-position model. The record is from RNAcentral.
CUACGGGGGGCUCCAGUGGGGAAUAUUGCACAAUGGAGGAAACUCUGAUGCAGCAACGCCGCGUGGAGGAUGACACAUUUCGGUGCGUAAACUCCUUUUAUUAGGGAAGAUAAUGACGGUACCUAAUGAAUAAGCACCGGCUAACUCCGUGCCAGCAGCCGCGGUAAUACGGAGGGUGCAAGCGUUACUCGGAAUCACUGGGCGUAAAGCGCGCGCAGGCGGCCUUUUAAGUUGGAUGUGAAAGCCUACGGCUCAACCGUAGAACUGCAUCCAAAACUAUUGGGCUAGAGUGUGGGAGAGGAAGAUGGAAUUAGUUGUGUAGGGGUAAAAUCCGUAGAGAUAACUAGGAAUACCAAAAGCGAAGGCAAUCUUCUGGAACACUACUGACGCUGAGGCGCGAAAGCGUGGGGAGCAAACAGGAUUAGAUACCCCUGUAGUC